Molecule: ribosomal RNA, 464 nt
Filed under: uncultured bacterium
Lineage: Bacteria
Description: partial 16S ribosomal RNA
Rfam family: Bacterial small subunit ribosomal RNA
Source: RNAcentral
ACGAACGCUGGCGGCGUGCUUAACACAUGCAAGUCGAACGGAAAGGCCCCUUUGGGGGUACUCGAGUGGCGAACGGGUGAGUAACACGUGAGUAACCUGCCCUUGACUUCGGGAUAACUUCAGGAAACUGGGGCUAAUACCGGAUAGGAAUCCUUGCUGCAUGGUGGGGGUUGGAAAGCUUCGGCGGUUUUGGAUGGACUCGCGGCUUAUCAGCUUGUUGGUGGGGUAGUGGCUUACCAAGGCUUUGACGGGUAGCCGGCCUGAGAGGGCGACCGGCCACAUUGGGACUGAGAUACGGCCCAGACUCCUACGGGAGGCAGCCGUGGGGAAUAUUGCACAAUGGGCGGAAGCCUGAUGCAGCAACGCCGCGUGCGGGAUGACGGCCUUCGGGUUGUAAACCGCUUUCAGCAGGGGCGAAGCUUGUGGUGACGGUACCUGCAGAAGAAGCACCGGCUAACUACGUG